AGUAAUGUAUGGGGAUCUGCCCGAUAGAGGGGGAUAACUACUGGAAACGGUGGCUAAUACCGCAUAAUGUCUACGGACCAAAGCAGGGGCUCUUCGGACCUUGUACUAUCGGAUGAACCCAUAUGGGAUUAGCUAGUAGGUGGGGUAAAGGCUCACCUAGGCGACGAUCUCUAGCUGGUCUGAGAGGAUGAUCAGCCACACUGGGACUGAGACACGGCCCAG
This 222-nucleotide ribosomal RNA is filed under the name uncultured bacterium. Its description in RNAcentral is "partial 16S ribosomal RNA". It matches the Rfam family "Bacterial small subunit ribosomal RNA", at positions 109 to 334 of the family's 1533-position model. The record is from RNAcentral.